RNAcentral lists this long non-coding RNA (382 nucleotides) under Helianthus annuus (common sunflower). RNAcentral describes it as "sRNA HanXRQr2_Chr12g0559191". Lineage: Eukaryota; Viridiplantae; Streptophyta; Magnoliopsida; Asterales; Asteraceae. The record is from RNAcentral.
UCGACCGGCGGAGAAACAAAAGGGGCCUAACCCUAAUUUCAACAAAAGCAUCAAAUUGAAGGUCAAAUCUAGCCCGAAUCAGGUGCAUGAACACGUAUAAACGAUCACCAAGUCAAGAGGAUCGUAAGUUUGACGCUUAACGAGCUACAUGGAGGCUUGGGAAAGAAGCGGGUCAAACGGAUUGAGUACACGGAAAAGUGUAUAACCGGAUGCAAGGUGAAUAUCAGGAGUACCGGAUGAAGAUCAAGCGAUGAGAAAGAACCGAACACAUGAAGAAGAAGCUUUCGCACGUUGUUUUGUUGAAAUUUUUAAACGACAAACUAAACUACAUUAUGUUGUUCUAAACUUUAAAUUGUAAAAGUUUUAAAUAAAUCCGUAUUUU